Molecule: ribosomal RNA, 486 nt
Filed under: uncultured bacterium
Lineage: Bacteria
Description: partial 16S ribosomal RNA
Rfam family: Bacterial small subunit ribosomal RNA
Source: RNAcentral
AUUGAACGCUGGCGGCAUGCUUUACACAUGCAAGUCGAGCGGCAGCGCGGGGGCAACCCUGGCGGCGAGCGGCGAACGGGUGAGUAAUGCAUCGGAACGUAUCCUCGAGUGGGGGAUAACCCAGCGAAAGUUGGGCUAAUACCGCAUGAGCUCUGAGGAGGAAAGCGGGGGACCUGCGAGGGCCUCGCGCUGGAGGAGCGGCCGAUGUCCGAUUAGCUAGUUGGUGGGGUAAAGGCUUACCAAGGCGACGAUCGGUAGCUGGUCUGAGAGGAUGAUCAGCCACACUGGGACUGAGACACGGCCCAGACUCCUACGGGAGGCAGCAGUGGGGAAUUUUGGACAAUGGGGGCAACCCUGAUCCAGCCAUGCCGCGUGAGUGAAGAAGGCCUUCAGGUUGUAAAGCUCUUUCGGACGGAACGAAAUGGGCGGGACUAAUACUCCUGUCUGAUGACGGUACCGUAAGAAGAAGCACCGGCUAACUACGUG